This 507-nucleotide ribosomal RNA is filed under the name Triticum aestivum (bread wheat). Its description in RNAcentral is "partial small subunit ribosomal RNA". Lineage: Eukaryota; Viridiplantae; Streptophyta; Magnoliopsida; Poales; Poaceae. The record is from RNAcentral.
AUGGACAGUGCCGCCUCCGUCGCGGGAGCGCCCCCGGCGGUGCCGCCCGCGGUGCUGUGCGCCGCCGAGGAGGCCCUGGCUGCCACCGAGUCCGUGGGGGACCACCUCGCCGAGAUGCUCGCCGCGGCGGCCGAGGACCCCGACGCCAUAGCCGAGCUCCCGCCCCUGCAACGGGCGCGCGCCUUCCUCGCCGUAGCCCACGCCGCGACCUCCCUCUUCUCAGUGCGGCUGCGGUGUUCGGGGAUAAAUCCGGACGAGCACCCUAUCAAGAAGGAGUUCGAGAGGUUAAGCCUGUGGCAGGAGAAGUUAAAUCGAUUGAACGAAUGGGACAAGGGAACCAUACACAUGGCCAUGCAUACGACUUACGAGGAGAUGCAUGCAGCAAGACCUGGACACCGCCGCGCAUAUCCACAUGUCUACUUCGAUCCACGACAAGGGAGCGGUGCCCACGGCCAGAUGUCGGCUUCCACAAGACGAGACCAGCUACACCAAGCAGACUCCGCGUGA